This 234-nucleotide unclassified non-coding RNA is filed under the name plant metagenome. Its description in RNAcentral is "partial contains small subunit ribosomal RNA, internal transcribed spacer 1, and 5.8S ribosomal RNA". The record is from RNAcentral.
UUUCCGUAGGUGAACCUGCGGAAGGAUCAUUACCGAGUGAGGGCCCUCUGGGUCCAACCUCCCACCCGUGUUUAUUUACCUUGUUGCUUCGGCGAGCCUGCCUUUUGGCUGCCGGGGGACGUCAGUCCCCGGGUCCGUGCUCGCCGGAGACCCCUUAGAACUCUGUCUGAAGAUUGUAGUCUGAGAUUGAAUAUAAAUUAUUUAAAACUUUCAACAACGGAUCUCUUGGUUCCG